This 386-nucleotide ribosomal RNA is filed under the name Anagnota bicolor. Its description in RNAcentral is "partial 12S ribosomal RNA". Lineage: Eukaryota; Metazoa; Arthropoda; Insecta; Diptera; Anthomyzidae. The record is from RNAcentral.
UCUGGGAUUAGAUACCCUGUUAUUUAAAAUAUAAAUUAUUUAUUUAGGUAGUAAUAGUUAUGUUCUUGAAACUUAAAAAAUUUGGCGGUAUUUUAGUCUAUUCAGAGGAACCUGUUCUGUAAUUGAUAUUCCACGUUGGACCUUACUUAAAUUUGUAAUUCAAUUUAUAUACCGUUGUUAUUUAAAUAUUUUUUAGAAUAAUAAUAUUUAAUUAUUUUUAUAAAAAUUUAUAUCAAAUCAAGGUGUAGUUUAUGUUUAAGUAGAAAUGGGUUACAAUAAAAUUAUUUAUGGAUAUAAAGAUGAAAAGUUUAUUGAAAAUGGAUUUGAUUGUAAAAUUAUAAAGAUUAAUAAUUUGAUUUUAGCUCUAAAAUAUGUACAAAUCGCCC